AUUGAACGCUGGCGGAAUGCUUUACACAUGCAAGUCGAACGGUAGAGGGGGCAACCCCUUGAGAGUGGCGAACGGGUGAGUAAUAUAUCGGAACGUGCCCAGUCGUGGGGAUAACGUAGCGAAAGUUACGCUAAUACCGCAUACGAUCUAAGGAUGAAAGCGGGGGACUCGCAAGAGCCUCGCGCGAUUGGAGCGGCCGAUAUCAGAUUAGGUAGUUGGUGGGGUAAAGGCUCACCAAGCCAACGAUCUGUAGCUGGUCUGAGAGGACGACCAGCCACACUGGAACUGAGACACGGUCCAGACUCCUACGGGAGGCAGCAGUGGGGAAUUUUUGGACAAUGGGCGCAAGCCUGAUCCAGCAAUGCCGCGUGCAGGAUGAAGGCCUU
Molecule: ribosomal RNA, 386 nt
Filed under: uncultured bacterium
Lineage: Bacteria
Description: bacterial SSU rRNA
Rfam family: Bacterial small subunit ribosomal RNA
Source: RNAcentral